This is a long non-coding RNA of Drosophila bipectinata, 173 nucleotides long. RefSeq lists it as uncharacterized. The record is from RefSeq and is a predicted model, not a curated record. Lineage: Eukaryota; Metazoa; Arthropoda; Insecta; Diptera; Drosophilidae.
AUCGUCCAAUAUAACAUAAACGAAGUUAGUGGGGAAAAAAUUGAAGGCGUUUUCAAAUUUUUAUAGAGUUUUGAUCGAUAGUAUAUCUAACUUGGCUCCGGGAAACUCGACGGAGAAAGUUUUGGGAAACUUGCCAAAAAAAAAGAUGUAAAAUAUAUAAUUUGUAAAAAUGA